Magnolia sinica is the source of this 315-nucleotide long non-coding RNA. RefSeq lists it as uncharacterized. Lineage: Eukaryota; Viridiplantae; Streptophyta; Magnoliopsida; Magnoliales; Magnoliaceae. The transcript has 2 exons. The record is from RefSeq and is a predicted model, not a curated record.
AGGAGAUUCCUUGAGCAACCGUAAGCCACAAGAAGACCCGGACCGAGUACGUGGACACUACCAUACAGAACAUGCAAGGACGGAUGUAGAGGGCGUCGGUGCCGGCCUUGAUAAUGCCACCGUGGAGCAAGAGGAGGAGUAUUAUGAGGAUGAGCCGUAUCAGGACGCAACAACAUAUUUUGGUGUUAAUCAGUAGCUUGAGAUCUUAACUUCAGUAGUUUGAUAUUUUGGAAACUUUUGAAAACUUUGUAACUAAGACCCCCAGCUGAGCGGGUCAAAUAUUGGGCUCUCAUGAAUAUACAUGCUUCUUUUGGC